GACGAACGCUGGCGGCGUGCGUAAUACAUGCAAGUCGAACGCACGAAGUUGAAGAGCUUGCUCUUUAACCAAGUGAGUGGCGGACGGGUGAGUAACACGUGGGUAACCUGCCCAUUAGAGGGGGAUAACAUUCGGAAACGGAUGCUGAUACCGCAUAGUUUCAGGAAUCGCAUGAUUCGUGAAGGAAAGGUGGCUUCGGCUACCACUAAUGGGUGGACCCGCGGCGUAUUAGCUAGUUGGUGAGGUAAUGGCUCACCAAGGCAAUGAUACGUAGCCGACCUGAGAGGGUGAUCGGCCACACUGGGACUGAGACACGGCCCAGACUCCUACGGGAGGCAGCAGUAGGGAAUCUUCCGCAAUGGACGAAAGUCUGACGGAGCAACGCCGCGUGAGUGAAGAAGGUUUUCGGAUCGUAAAACUCUGCUGUUAAAGAAGAACAAGGAUGAGAGUAACUGCUCAUCCCCUGACGGUAUUUAACCAGAAAGCCACGGCUAACUACGUGCCAGCAGCCGCGGUAAUACGUAGGUGGCAAGCGUUGUCCGGAUUUAUUGGGCGUAAAGCGAGCGCAGGCGGUUCUUUAAGUCUGAUGUGAAAGCCCCCGGCUCAACCGGGGAGGGUCAUUGGAGACUGGAGAACUUGAGUGCAGAAGAGGAGAGUGGAAUUCCACGUGUAGCGGUGAAAUGCGUAGAUAUGUGGAGGAACACCAGUGGCGAAGGCGACUCUCUGGUCUGUAACUGACGCUGAGGCUCGAAAGCGUGGGGAGCAAACAGG
Molecule: ribosomal RNA, 771 nt
Filed under: uncultured Vagococcus sp.
Lineage: Bacteria; Bacillati; Bacillota; Bacilli; Lactobacillales; Enterococcaceae
Description: bacterial SSU rRNA
Rfam family: Bacterial small subunit ribosomal RNA
Source: RNAcentral